Molecule: long non-coding RNA, 1632 nt
Organism: Parus major (Great Tit)
Lineage: Eukaryota; Metazoa; Chordata; Aves; Passeriformes; Paridae
Source: Ensembl
AAAGUACUACUUGUUUUCCAGUUUGCAACAGGAUGUCAUAGGACAGUGGGCACCUUGCAGUGAAAUUUUAACCCACACCUGAGAAAUUUGGAGUAAAUGAACCAGUCAGGAUUAAGGUGGGAUUCAGAUAAUGUCUUUGGUUGCAAGAACAAGGAUUACAGUAAUUCAGUGGGUUGCUUGUGAGCCAUAAUAAUUCCACAGACGGAGAAACAUAUGACUAGCUGAUUUUUUUAAACUGUUUUGUACUGUAAUGCCAUUUUGACAUUUAACCCACUAAUGUUGUGACUGCAUACCUCCAUGAUGUGUAAUUUCAGUGGAACGUGGAUCAAAGAUAGGUUUAUUUAAACCCCCUGACAGCUAAAGAAUAUUGUAUUAGUUGGUAAUUUGAACACUAAUUGUUAAUAUUUAAAGGAGUAUUUUUAAUAGAAUGCAUUGUGCAUUCCAGGACCACUAGAAUUUAGCAAAUGUGAAAUGAACCCUUUUUAAGAGUGUUGCACGAUUGCUUAAAAUUAUAUUUUAUAUAUAUAUUAUAUAUAUAUAUAUAUUUUUAUGCAAAUAUUAAACAUCUUUGAUCUGGUUGUCACACUGCAUUUACAAUUUUAGUACUGUACUUUAUUUAAAUGGAAUCACUUUACAUUGGAACAAUAGCUAUUCACUUUCAUUUCCUCUCCCGAAAGACCAGCAGGGGGGAAAAAACCAACCUCCGCUGCUGUUUUCACUUCAGUGCCAUCUCUGAAGGUGUUAAAUUCUUUGUUGUGCUUUGAAAACCUAAUGACUAAGUGACACUUGACUCUGAUACUUUGCUUAUUCUUUCUGAGGGGGGGGAAAGAAAAAGGGAAUUCAGGCUUUUGAAGGAAAUCUGUCUGUGCCUUGCCUGGUCACAGGCACGGUCUGGCACUGGAGUCAGGGGCAGAGAGAAGGAGAGGACUCGUGUCCUGGCAGUGUAUUUUCCCUAUGGAGCGAGUAAGGCACUUCAAAGACAUGUCCAACCUGCAAGUCUUGGAUUUUUGAGGCUGGAUCCAGGUGCAAGUUCUAUGCUGGGGCUGUACCACAUCGCUGACAGUGGGACUCUGUUGAUGCUGGUCUUCUGAAUACUCUGAAACCUCAGCUGUGGGAUGGUGUCCAAAGGAACAACUGGGCUGCUAGGCUGGCAUUACUUGGACUCCUCCAAGGAAGCCAUUUCCUCAGCAGCCCAGUGCUGUCCUGCUCUAGAGAAGUGACUCUGCAGAGACAUUCUCAUUCCCUGCUCCUGGACAAUCCUAGUUCUCAUUUCCCCAGUCCAGAGGCCCUCAGUCCUGUGGGGAGUCGGUAUCCAGGUCAUAAGGGUAGAAGUAUAUAAAUGCCUGCACUAGGUUGGAUUAAAUAUCUGAUGUUACCUAUAAAAGGAAAAACAACUUCUGCAUAAUUUCAUAUAUUCUUUGGGAGUGGUUCUGUGAACAUUCCAGAGAAAUGUUGUGUGUCCAUCUCAGUUUCUUACAGCUUUGUAGAUCCACAUACUGGACAUUUCCCAAUAAUUUUCAUCAUGUGAGACUCUUGGUGAAGGCUCUCUCCCUCUCCCUGCUUAGUACAACUUUUUACCAGUAGCUUUUUAUGGAUGCCACAAUCAUUUAACUCCUGUACUAUGCUACUGGA